Molecule: long non-coding RNA, 264 nt
Filed under: Mytilus galloprovincialis (Mediterranean mussel)
Lineage: Eukaryota; Metazoa; Mollusca; Bivalvia; Mytilida; Mytilidae
Source: RNAcentral
CAAAUAUAUAACUUUUAAACUGUUUCAAUUUCAAAAUGCACAAGAAUGGCGUAUAACGCUUGAAUACCUUGCUUUGGUCUAGUACUGUUUUGAAAAUUUCUUUCGAAGCCGAAACUCAACUCUUUUAUCUUUGAUGCGUUCAAUGUGUCGGAAAUUUGAAAAAAAAUAAGGAGAGAGACGAGAAGUGUCUAUUAGUUUUUUGUGCAGACCAAUGGGAGUAUGUCCUUAGAAUUGAACACUCUAAUAUAACAAUAAGAAGAUAAG